Molecule: non-coding RNA, 98 nt
Organism: Synechococcus sp. PCC 7335
Lineage: Bacteria; Bacillati; Cyanobacteriota; Cyanophyceae; Synechococcales; Synechococcaceae
Rfam family: Bacterial small signal recognition particle RNA
About the family: The signal recognition particle (SRP) is a universally conserved ribonucleoprotein involved in the co-translational targeting of proteins to membranes. Archaeal SRP consists of a 7S RNA and homologues of the eukaryotic SRP19 and SRP54 proteins.
Source: Rfam
GGCUCGGACCCGCGCAAUUACAACGCCUAAAUCUUGUCAGGACCGGAAGGUAGCAGCAAUACGGGAUGCUUGUAAUAGGCGCGGACUUCGGGCCUCUU